RNAcentral lists this ribosomal RNA (253 nucleotides) under uncultured bacterium. RNAcentral's name for it is "partial 16S ribosomal RNA". It matches the Rfam family "Bacterial small subunit ribosomal RNA", at positions 524 to 776 of the family's 1533-position model. The record is from RNAcentral.
UACGUAGGGACCAAGCGUUGUUCGGAUUUACUGGGCGUAAAGGGCGCGUAGGCGGCGUGGUAAGUCACUUGUGAAAUCUCUGAGCUUAACUCAGAACGGCCAAGUGAUACUGCUGUGCUAGAGUGCAGAAGGGGCAAUCGGAAUUCUUGGUGUAGCGGUGAAAUGCGUAGAUAUCUGGAGGAACACCGGUGGCGAAGGCGGCAUCCUGGACCGGCAUUGACGCUGAGGCGCGAAAGCCAGGGGAGCAAACGGG